RNAcentral lists this non-coding RNA (29 nucleotides) under Mus musculus (house mouse). The record is from RNAcentral. Lineage: Eukaryota; Metazoa; Chordata; Mammalia; Rodentia; Muridae.
UCCCAGCAUCAGCCUACACCGAACCCUGU